RNAcentral lists this ribosomal RNA (504 nucleotides) under uncultured bacterium. RNAcentral's name for it is "bacterial SSU rRNA". It matches the Rfam family "Bacterial small subunit ribosomal RNA", at positions 29 to 521 of the family's 1533-position model. The record is from RNAcentral.
AGUGAACGCUGGCGGCAGGCCUAAUACAUGCAAGUCGAACGGCAGCACAGCAGAGCUUGCUCUGUGGGUGGCGAGUGGCGGACGGGUGAGGAAUACGUGGGAAUCUGCCCAGUCGUGGGGGAUAACGUAGGGAAACUUACGCUAAUACCGCAUGCGCCCUUCGGGGAAAGCCGGGGGACCUUCGGGCCUGGCGCGAUUGGAUGAGCCCACGUCGGAUUAGCUAGUUGGCGGGGUAAAGGCCCACCAAGGCGACGAUCCGUAGCUGGUCUGAGAGGAUGAUCAGCCACACUGGAACUGAGACACGGUCCAGACUCCUACGGGAGGCAGCAGUAGGGAAUAUUGGACAAUGGGCGCAAGCCUGAUCCAGCCAUGCCGCGUGAGUGAAGAAGGCCCUCGGGUUGUAAAGGCUCUUUUGUCCGGAAAGAAAAGCGCCGGGUUAAUACCCUGGUGUCCUGACGGUACCGGAAGAUAAGCACCGGCUAACUUCGUGCCAGCAGCCGCGGU